Molecule: long non-coding RNA, 4948 nt
Filed under: Equus caballus (horse)
Lineage: Eukaryota; Metazoa; Chordata; Mammalia; Perissodactyla; Equidae
Description: lncRNA (ENSECAG00000055997.1)
Source: RNAcentral
GCAAAUUUAUAAUUUUUCUAUUUGCUAUGCCCCACAAUCUAAACCACCUUUAGAGUAUGACUUUAAAGUUGAAUGCUAGAGAAGUCAUAAAAGGAAUAAAGCAAAGGAAAUUAAAAUUGACAUGUGGGUAGAGUUCUCAAGUAUAAUUUAUUUAGUCAAUCAAUAAUUAUAUUAGAGCACACAAAUAUGAACAGACUAUGCAAGACACUAUGAAGAUGACGAAGAAUCACAUGCAGAUUCUAUUCCUGGUGCUUAUUCUUGUAGGGCACAUAAUGCAUAUAAACAAAUAAUAUAUAUGCACAUAAUAAUGCAUCUAAAGAAACGAUAGAGACAAAUAAUUAUCAUGCAAAGUAGGUGGUUAUAAAUGCCAUGAGAGAGAUGUAAAUAAAAUCUCCUAGGAUUUCAGAAGAGAAGGGCCUCUAUUGAUCGAGGGGGUGCUGAUCACGCAGGGGCCUUUCCUCCGGCCCUGAGGGAUGGACAACCUUUGGACAUAAGAGGGGAGAAUUCAAUGGGCUUUUGCCCAACACCGUGCAAUCUAAGGCCAUCCUCAGGAAUAGCUACAAAAUGGAUGGAAUUAGCUUUUUGUUCUUUCUUAGCUUCUCUUUCUCUGCUCUAACUAAAUGACUGACGAUAUUUUGACAAACUAAUGCAUGCUAAUGCAUUAAUGGCUAAUAAGGGUGAAAUUCUGCUUUCCCAGCUACUUAUGUUUUAACAUGCUUUAAUUCUAAUUACUGUAAAACAGCUACUCAUUAUAUAAAUGACUCUUCAGAUAUAACCUGGGCUGAAAUCUGUGGGGAUGUAUUUUUCUCUUUCCAUUUUGUCUUCUAGUCCCCUUUUAAUUUGUAACUUAGGGCAGGGUGGCCUAGAGAACCCCAUAGUUGCUAGCACUCCUUCCUGUGGCAAAGUGGGGAUCCAGAUUAACCAGGAUUUAGGCUCACACAUUUGGACUAUGGCCAGGGCCCAACCUCAGUGACUUGUGGGUUGGCAUCUCUUACAGUGGGUGAAAAAACAAAGGAGAUAAUUUAGAUGCAUUGCCUACCAUUAUUUUAAAACCAUGGGCCAAUAUCAAAAAUUGAUAUUGUUAGUAAUAGAACAAGCUAAAAUUAGAGGUUGAAAGAGAGAAGGGGAGGAUGGAGCAAAGGUGACGUAGAGAACAGAGGUGAUGCUUCUCUAGUUCUGUGAGGAACCAGCCAAAUAAAGCAAACAGUGGUGUGGCCUUGGAAGUCCAGUUCUUUGUGCAGGAGGAGCUGACCUGUGGGUGACAGGGUGGAACUGGCCAAGUCGCAUGGUUCUGUUAGGCUUCCCAUGCCUGUCAUGGAGUUAGUUGGGGCAAAGUUAAGGUUACACAACCCUAAGUGCUGGAGAGCAAGGUGAGACAUGGUUUUGGGCACAUAUGGAAGUUGUUUUUAUUAGUUAAGCAGAAUGAAGAAUGCUAAUAAAAGGUAAAUCAAUGCUUUUCCUCUCAGAUGUAUCCAGGUUGUCCUGGCAACAUCAGGGAGAACAUUAGUUUCCUUGUACAGGCCCUUGCAUAUCUUUCUGUUCAUAAUAUCUUCUGCUUGAAUGGGGCAUUUGCCCAGUUCCAGAACAUGGCUGGCCUAUGUCUUUUUUUUCUCAACACAGAGUUCUAACUUUAUAUCCUCUCUGGUAGACACUGUUGGGUGUCCUCCAACAGUUGUACCACUUUUUCCCCCCUAAUGAACACCUGAUCCUGUUUGGACAGCACUGUGUCCAGGCCCAGAAUUAAUUGUGAUUGGUCUAACUCUUAGACAACCAAGACCAUCGGUUUCCCCCUUGCCAGGGACUGGUCCAGGGGUUGGCAUAUGACUUAGACCUGGGCAAUGAGAUGUAAAGGAAAAUCUGCUGGGACUUCUAGGAAACAUUUUAUCCCUGGUAAGUGGUGUGACUGGCAUAAGGAAAAACUCCUUUUGCUCCAUUUGUCACUCCUACUUGGGGAUGUGAUUCUUAGAGGUACAGGAGCCAUUUUUUUAAGCCUGAGAAGAAGCAUAAUUGACACAUUGAGGAUGGAAGAGCAGAAAGAUAAAACGUCAUUGGCAGUAUUAUUGAGCCAUGAACUCUGGGCUUCUUGUUUAGUAAGCAAUUCAUUUUUUAUGGUUUAAUUCACUCUUGUUUGGAUAUUCUGUUACUUGCAACUCAAAGCAUUCUAAUGAAUAUUUAUACUGAGCCCUCAGCUAUGGAGCUGGGGAAAGCUAUGGAUUAACAAAGGAGCUUAAAAGCAUGGCCACCAAGAUGGUAGCAAAGCUGGGAUGGCAUUUGCUUCUGAAAGUAGAUCGCUGCCUUCUGCCGUUUUUUUCCAGUGCAGGAUGCAACUUUCAGUUCUCAGUUUUCCAAAAUGGCUGGGCUUGCCUCGUGAUGGGGUGACAUGGACUCGCUUCAUUGUUAUUCCACCUCUCUGACUUCUCCUACAUCAAAAGCACUGCUGUUCCUCCCUCAUUCACAGGAUGGCUCUUCCUUGAGGUCCUCACCUUGAUCCUCUUCUCUCCAUCCCCUUUCCCUUAGGAAUAUCAUAUGCUGCCCAGACUUUCUCGUGUCUUUCAAAAAUAACUAUCCAACUUUGUCUCCAACUUUCCUUUGCACUCCAGACUUGAGGUGUCAGUUGCUUAUGGUCUAUUUCUUACCGGGUGUUCCACUAGCAGCACAAACACAAACAUAUGCUGAACCAAAAGAAUCAUCUUCUCUGAAAAAUCUGACAUCUCCAAAUCUGAUAAUGUCAGUAUCACACUCUGGUCUCUCCAUUUUCAAGCCAUUUGGCGCUUCCUUCUCCCACACUGCAUCUAUGCAAUCCAUUGCUGUCAAUUCUACCUCUGAAUUCCCUCACUCACUUCUUCCCUCCUCUCCAUCUUUCCUGCCUCUUGUCUAGCCCAGCACCAAAUCCUACCUGAACCUCUGCAAUAGACUCAAAUGAAGACAGCAUUAAGAAAUUUCCACCCCCUACUUUAUCUUACACACACCCAUAGUGUGCCUCCUUACGCAGAAUCUUCAAAAGCAGCCCCACCUUCUGAGUUAAGUACUAACUCUCACCAGGCUAUUCUAGGCUCCCCAGAACAUAGCAAACUUGUCAUCUUAACUUUAUCCAUUGCUAUUUAUCUGUUCAUUUUCUGUGCUCCUAGUUAAGCAUGACUAAUGCCACUAUUAUGAUUACUAUUACCACCAGCAACUGCUGCUACUAUUACUUAUCUCUGGUGUUACCAUGAGCAUCAUAAUACAACUCUCUCUCUCAAUGGUGAACACUUAUUGAACUCUUAAUGUGUGCCAAGCACUGUGCUUAAGCACUUUCAUCCAACAUGCAGUCAACAAAUAAUCACUGACCCCCUGCAAUAUGCUCUGCAGGUAUCGAAGACACAAUGGAACAGACAGGGAUUUGCCCUCCACACUCGCGGAGCUUAUAGCUUCACUCUCCCUGUCUACUUUAAUUCUUGCCAUAAUCUUUUGGAGGUAGGUGUGGUUGUGAUCAACAUCGUUUCACAGAUGAGGAAACUGAGGCUUAGAGAGUAAGUGACCCGUGAAAAGACUUAGAAAUAAGAGAGGAGGCUUCCAGAUGUCUCCCGCUCUGGCUCCUGUGCCAUCUACACUGCCCUUCACCAUCCUAUUCCUUCACACUUCCCCUUGUGCCCCCUCACUCACCACAGCUCCUUGAGGGGAGAGAUGGUGUCAUAUUCUUCUCUGUAGCCCCUGUAACACCCAGCAUAGUGAGUAGCAUCUUUACAGAUCCCUACAUGUUUUGAGGUUAAAUGAAAUAGAAGUACAAGCCCUAGUGACAUCACCCCUGAAAGGCCUCAGUCCCCCAGUCAGGCCCUCUUAAUGCUGAGCAAGGGCCUCUCCCAGAGUGAUCAAUGCCUCCUAACUGUCUGAAAUAGAAGGCAAUAUGCCUUACCCAUAGCUUCUAACACAAGAUGUCAUUGGUUCGUCUGUUCCUGUGCUUAAUAAGCAAGAUUAAUAUCCAUUUUAAAUUCAGUUGAUAAGAUGGUAUAACCCUGUGUUCAUUCCUCUUUCCAAUAUGCACCACGGCACUCUGCUAAUGUUCCAUCAUGUUCUGCUACAAUGCAUUAAGGGCAAGAUUGGUGACAUUUGUUUGGAAUCAGACACCUGUUAUCAAUUUUGAGCAUGGCUUAUAUAUCCUGCUUCAAAAUAUCCAGGGGGCCAAUGGAGAUGAAUGAGGCAUAGGUACUGUUCCUGCUGCUUUACACAGCUCCUCUUUACAUAGGAAACAUGGAGGAAUAACCUGAAAAAUAUAGUCUUAACACAAUCAUCAUGGAAAGAAUCAUCAUUAACACAAAUAACAGUUUUUUGCUCAUCUGGCUUCUUUUAUCACCACCUUUCCUAAGACUUACAUGCCCCUUCCUUUCAUUCUCUCAGCUUUGACACCGUAGAAAUCCAAUUCUCUCCAGUGAAGAGAUGGAGAAGCUGAGUGAGAGACUAUGUAUAGGAGAUUGGGUCCUAGAGAUAGGCUAGCCCCCAGCAGGGGAGGGUCCCAGAAGUCUUAUGUCUCUGAGGUGCGGACAAAAGAAAAACCUGUGACCGGCAAGCUAAAACAAGAUUAGAGGCUGACGGAAAUUGCUUUGUGCAUCAGACUGAAAGCCAGAGGCAAAAACAAAGACUGUGUCAAGAGAUGGAGAGAAGGGAGGAGGUGUGUUUAGUAAGUGAAGAAGGAAGGAACGAUGGAGCAUGCAUACCCUGGGGACUCAGAGCCUUGGUUCAAGCCAGUCCCUCCUCUCCCAUCUCCCAUCAUCCCAGGAUGACUUCUGGGCUGCCUGCCUUCUCCUGCUGCUUGGCUUCUUGGGCCCCACACAGUUCUGCCCUCCCCAAACCUGCCCCAUGACCACUGCUGCACUCUUCUCUGUGCCAUCGGUUGGUGGAAGGCCAGGGUUCUGCUACUGCCCUCUGCUCUUGGCAGCAGCCUGGGAGCAGAGUUGGAGAAUAUAAAGUCGGG